RNAcentral lists this ribosomal RNA (624 nucleotides) under Hygrotus nigrolineatus. RNAcentral describes it as "partial 16S ribosomal RNA". It matches the Rfam family "Bacterial large subunit ribosomal RNA", at positions 1829 to 2731 of the family's 2925-position model. The record is from RNAcentral. Lineage: Eukaryota; Metazoa; Arthropoda; Insecta; Coleoptera; Dytiscidae.
GUCCUUUAGGAUUAGUAUUUAAGGUCUAACCUGCCCAUUGAUUAAUAUUUAACGGCCGCAGUAAUUUGACUGUGCAAAGGUAGCAUAAUCAUUAGUUUUUUAAUUGAAAGCUUGUAUGAAUGGUUGGACGAGAUAAAAACUGUCUCUAAAUAAUAAAUAGAAUUUAAUUUUUAAGUUAAAAAGCUUAAAUUUAUUUAAAAGACGAGAAGACCCUAUAGAUCUUUAUAUAAUUUUUUUUAAUUUUAUAAAUGAUUAUUUAAUUGAUUAAAAUUUUUUAUAUUUUAUUGGGGUAAUAUAUAGAUUAAAUAAAUUCUUUUAGAUUUAACAUUAAUUAAUGAUUUUGGGAUCCAUUUUUAAUGAUUAUAAGAUUAAGUUACCUUAGGGAUAACAGCGUAAUUUUUUUAGAGAGUUCUUAUCGAUAAAAAAGUUUGCGACCUCGAUGUUGGAUUAAAAAUUAUUUUAGGCGUAGAAGUUUAAAAUUUUGGUCUGUUCGACCAUUGAAUUUUUACAUGAUCUGAGUUCAGACCGGUGUAAGCCAGGUCGGUUUCUAUCUUUAUAAAAUUAAAAUAUUUUAGUACGAAAGGACCGAAUAUUAAAUAUAUUAAUAUUUUAGAUUUUGAUUUA